This 385-nucleotide ribosomal RNA is filed under the name uncultured bacterium. RNAcentral describes it as "bacterial SSU rRNA". It matches the Rfam family "Bacterial small subunit ribosomal RNA", at positions 29 to 441 of the family's 1533-position model. The record is from RNAcentral.
AACGAACGCUGGCGGCAGGCCUAACACAUGCAAGUCGAACGCUCCAGCAAUGGAGAGUGGCAGACGGGUGAGUAACGCGUGGGAACCUUCCCAAUGGUACGGAAUAGCUCAGGGAAACUUGAGGUAAUACCGUAUACGCCCUUACGGGGAAAGAUUUAUCGCCAUUGGAUGGGCCCGCGUCGGAUUAGCUAGUUGGUGAGGUAACGGCUCACCAAGGCUACGAUCCGUAGCUGGUUUGAGAGAAUGACCAGCCACACUGGGACUGAGACACGGCCCAGACUCCUACGGGAGGCAGCAGUGGGGAAUAUUGGACAAUGGGCGCAAGCCUGAUCCAGCCAUGCCGCGUGAGUGACGAAGGCCUUAGGGUUGUAAAGCUCUUUUGGCG